UGGGGAAUAUUGCACAAUGGGCGAAAGCCUGAUGCAGCAACGCCGCGUGAGUGAUGAAGGCCUUCGGGUUGUAAAGCUCUGUCUUUUGGGACGAUAAUGACGGUACCAAAGGAGGAAGCCACGGCUAACUACGUGCCAGCAGCCGCGGUAAUACGUAGGUGGCAAGCGUUGUCCGGAUUUACUGGGCGUAAAGGAUGCGUAGGCGGAUUUUUAAGUGAGAUGUGAAAACCCUAAGCUUAACUUGGGGACUGCAUUUCAUACUGGAAAUCUAGAGUGCGGGAGAGGAGAAUGGAAUUCCUAGUGUAGCGGUGAAAUGCGUAGAGAUUAGGAAGAACACCAGUGGCGAAGGCGAUUCUCUGGACCGUAACUGACGCUGAGGCAUGAAAGCGUGGGUAGCAAACAGGAUUAGAUACCCUGGUAGUCCACGCCGUAAACGAUGAGUACUAGGUGUAGGAGGUAUCGACCCCUUCUGUGCCGCAGUUAACACAAUAAGUACUCCGCCUGGGAAGUACGAUCGCAAGAUUAAAAACUUAAAGGAAUUGACGGGGGUCAUAGCUG
Molecule: ribosomal RNA, 558 nt
Filed under: uncultured bacterium
Lineage: Bacteria
Description: partial 16S ribosomal RNA
Rfam family: Bacterial small subunit ribosomal RNA
Source: RNAcentral